RNAcentral lists this small nuclear RNA (67 nucleotides) under Sus scrofa (pig). Lineage: Eukaryota; Metazoa; Chordata; Mammalia; Artiodactyla; Suidae. The record is from RNAcentral.
NNAGAAAAGAUUAGUAUGGCCCCUGCACAAAGCUGACAUGCAAAUUUGUGAAGCCUUCCAUAUUUUU